Molecule: ribosomal RNA, 332 nt
Filed under: Lactobacillus delbrueckii subsp. bulgaricus
Lineage: Bacteria; Bacillati; Bacillota; Bacilli; Lactobacillales; Lactobacillaceae
Description: partial 16S ribosomal RNA
Source: RNAcentral
UGGUUGAUUACCGUCAAUAAAGACCAGUUACUGCCUCUAUCCUUCUUCACCAACAACAGAGCUUUACGAUCCGAAAACCUUCUUCACUCACGCGGCGUUGCUCCAUCAGACUUGCGUCCAUUGUGGAAGAUUCCCUACUGCUGCCUCCCGUAGGAGUAAGGGAAUCUUCCACAAUGGACGCAAGUCUGAUGGAGCAACGCCCCCGAAUUGAAAAAGGUUUUCGGAUCAAAAAGUUCUUUUUUUUGGUGAAAAAGGAUAGAGGCAUUAACUGGUCUUUAUUUGACGGUAAUCAACCAGAAGGUCCGGCCAAUCUCGCCCCCCGGUUAUAUAAA